AUCUCCAGAGAGCGUGGCCCUCACCCUUGGGGCUUUAGGAAUUCAGAGAAAGGAAGAAAGGGUAUUAGCUACAUUGUGAAGACUCUGCUUGAGGCCACGCAUUCCAGAGAGAAGGAAGAGAGCAGGAAAAGUAACAUUGGUCAUGUGUCUACAGCAUGCCAGAAACUACCAUACGACAUCUUUUUACAUCUUCACAGUUAUCUAGUUUUACAAAGGAGGAAACUGAAACCCAGAGAAGGUACAUGUGGGUUCUGAGAGGUCCAACAACAAACAGGGCAGUUGGGCCCACCCAGAGCAACUGCAGCCCUUGGAGAUGGCCUGAAAUUGGACAAGGCCUGGAAUGAGGGUCUGGGCACCGCUCCCAGCAUCUGACCUUGGAUGGAGACAGCAGAGCUGUGGUUUGGGAGAUUUUCCUUCCUCAGCUAAGACCCACAGGAGCCUGUUGUAAGCAUCCAGGGCUGCGGAGAGAUGGAUGCACAGACAGGCAGACGGAUGUCCCACGAGAGGCUGCCAGGCCUCGGCAGCUGCCGCUGGAGACGGGUCACGGAAACCUCCGGAGGCCACCCCCUCCAGGGAGAUGGAUAAUGUUGGGAUUGGUGGGUCUGCCUCCUGGGAUGACGGCUGAAUGCUUUCUGCAUUCCGAAGCUCGUCACCUCCCCUCCCCAGCCCAGUUCUACCAGUGUGCGGUCCUCUGGGCCUGCCCUUCUCUGCCCUCCCAGUUAUCCGCUGCCCCCUCCCCUCCCACCUCCUCCAUGCUCCCUGCACUUCCUCCUUUCCUGGGUGUUAGCAGUGCAGUGCUUUACCGUUCACAAAGCACAUUUAUACACACUAGAUCAUUUGAUCCUUAGAAGAACCCUAUGCAGGAAGGGACGGAGGAACGGAGGAAGCAGAAGCUUCUGGAGAGAAGAGGUUUAAGGCUAUUAGAUGGCAUGCUCACACAGAUGUUCCAGUUGCCUCAGAUGUUGGCAGGAGUGGAGAUGGAGAAGAUGUCAGGGAGCCAGGAGCUAAAGUAGCCCACCAUGGGGGGACCAGGAGCUCGGAAACUUUCUAUCCCCAGUGCCCAGGGUACUGGGGGCACUUAGUAAAUGUUCAUCGACUGAUUGAAUAUGCCUGGUGUUCUCUUGGUAUCCCUGCCUUCUACUUGUUCUUAUGAAAAGACCUGAAAGCCACACUGAGAUGUAAGCAACUGGUGAUAGUUUUCAAGCGAUGCCUCACAAAGGAGUCAAUUCUUGUGUUACAGAUGUCAUUCCAGUGAGCAGACACUGGAGACUACAGUGGGAAGACCCAAGAGACGAGGACAGAGGAGAGGGCUUUCCCAGGCAGACCCCUGGCCUACCAAGGCUUCGGGGGCUCCCAGCUAGGGGUCACAGGAAGGAGACUUUGAUGGAGCAGAAAGGAAGCCCAGGAGGAGCUCUGGCAUCCCCUCCAAAGCCCCCCUCCCAGAGUCACAGAAUGGGAGGGGCGGAGGGACCUUAGAAGUGAUCUAGACCUUUGAUUAAAAAGAAAGGAUGUAUCCCUAAUUUCUACUGUUCUGUGUGGUGGCUUCAUUCACUCAGACCUUCUGGCAGCUCCUGGGUUUUGUCAUCCCAGCUUCCUAACCAGAAAGAAAACAGGGCUUCUCUCUCCUGGAUCAGGUUGGUGGGAAGGAUGCUGGGAACGGACUCCACAGUGGUCCAGCUUGAGGUAUGCUCACCACCCUAGCACCCACGAUGGUGGCCCUGGAAACAGCAUGACCCUGUGCAUAUUUGGGCUACAGGUUAAAGGAUGCAGAAGGAGGAAACGGCUCCCCAAGACAGAGGGUGAUCACAUACGUGGCCUCCAUGUGAACCGCGAGCUAAGCAAUCACCCCACACUGAGUCUACUACAAAGCAAGUUCAUUACAGCAUUUAGACACAUUCUGGUGUUUAUCGAUAGGGAAACAGGUGAACAAAUUAUGGUACCUCUUAUGGACUCCUAUGCAGCUGUUAAAAAGAUUGAAG
This is a long non-coding RNA of Balaenoptera acutorostrata (minke whale), 1979 nucleotides long. RefSeq lists it as uncharacterized. The transcript is spliced from 3 exons. The record is from RefSeq and is a predicted model, not a curated record. NCBI's taxonomy places the organism in Eukaryota, Metazoa, Chordata, Mammalia, Artiodactyla, Balaenopteridae.